Molecule: unclassified non-coding RNA, 331 nt
Filed under: uncultured Orbiliales
Lineage: Eukaryota; Fungi; Ascomycota; Orbiliomycetes; Orbiliales
Description: sequence contains ITS1
Rfam family: 5.8S ribosomal RNA (bases 1-105)
Source: RNAcentral
GAAACGCGAUAGGUAAUGUGAAUUGCAGAAUUCCGUGAAUCAUCGAAUCUUUGAACGCACAUUGCGCCUUCUGGUAUUCCGGUAGGCAUAUCUGUUUGAGCGUCAGCAAAACCUCUCAGCAUUAAUUUGUUUUGGUAUUGGGUCAAGCAGCUGGCUAUGAGUCUCUGCCUACCUUAAAACUUACCGCACGACCGCAAGCUACUGCUAGGUUCAUGAAGUUGGUAGUUACAUAUUUCAUAAACUAGUAUUAGCGAGAACGGCGUUAAACCUGAUGUUGCCUUCGCAACUGAAGUUUGACCUCAAAUCAGAUAAGGAUACCCGCUGAACUUAA